Long non-coding RNA from Eutrema salsugineum, 1027 nucleotides. RefSeq lists it as uncharacterized. Lineage: Eukaryota; Viridiplantae; Streptophyta; Magnoliopsida; Brassicales; Brassicaceae. The transcript has 5 exons. The record is from RefSeq and is a predicted model, not a curated record.
GUGACUUAAAACAAGCCUUAAAAACCCUAAACCCGAAAUCCUCUGUAUUCGCAUCUUCUCUAUCUCUCCUCUCAUUUUAGGUUUUGUCUACCAUCGAAGAAGCAACAAAGUUUUCGAGGUUCUUGAUCUUUGCUUCGGACUUAUAUAAAAAUGAUUUUGCCUUUUUGGUUUAGUGAAUGAAGAAAUCGUGAAAGUCUAAUUCUGCCUGGGAUUAAGGAGUGUAUUGAGCUAAAAAUGGCUCUAAUACAAUUUGGAAGUACGUUUGUUGCUCAAUUUGCAGUGAAAGGUUAUUAUCCGAGCAGAGUCGAAUCAGCCCGCCAUCAAAAUUCCAUGAGGAGCCAAAUAAACUAUUUGGGAGCUUCAAAGUCUAGUAUGUUCUUACAUGGGUUCCUUGACCUUCUUGUCGAUGUCGGGAAUGUCCAGAAAUAUGCAGAACCGCAGAGGAUCUCGCUUCACUGUUAGAGCUGAUUCGGUGCUUGGUCCUGUUCUCUAGCAUUUGCAGAAUCUUAUCGGAAGCUGGCUCUUAGUUACCAUCCAGAUGUGAACAAGGAUCCUGAUGCAGUAUACUCUACACUUGCAAGAUGUUUUAUAUCAAUGCGAUUUUAGGGACGACAUGGACACAACAGAGCACGACUCUGGUGAUGGAGAAAAACGGAGUUCCGGUAUUGAAGAAGGGAUCAGUUGGCGUGACUGCAAGUGGAGAUACCUACGAGAUUGAGGGAAAAGAGGAGAAGAAGAUUCGUUAUAGUUACUCUGAGAUUGUGAAAUCAAUCUUUCUCUUACAAAAGUGUAUCUUCAUAAGGUUGGUUUAUAAGUUGUAACAAGGCAACUUUUUGUGAUGAUUCCAAAAUGUUUUUAAGUAGUUGGCAUCACCUCUCUCCAUCAUGAUUCCAGGAUCUUUUUUUCUUUCGAUUUCUUGUAUGUUUAUAGAAAUGUUAAUCAUGUGGCUGAUGUAUUAGCAAAACAAGACCAGCUUUCAAGGUGUAGAAAGUAGUUCUUUUGGUUUGAUAAGUUAAAAAGUUCUAAA